RNAcentral lists this ribosomal RNA (379 nucleotides) under uncultured eukaryote. RNAcentral describes it as "partial 18S ribosomal RNA". It matches the Rfam family "Eukaryotic small subunit ribosomal RNA", at positions 592 to 976 of the family's 1831-position model. The record is from RNAcentral.
CAAUAGCGUAUAUUUAAGUUGUUGCAGUUAAAAAGCUCGUAGUUGGAUUUCGGAUGGGACUUGCCGGUCCGUCGUUUCGAUGUGCACUGGCCAGUCCUAUCUUGUUGUCGGGGACUAGCUCCUGGGCUUCACUGUCCGGGACUAGGAGCUGACGAGGUUACUUUGAGUAAAUUAGAGUGUUCAAAGCAAGCCUACGCUCUGAAUACAUUAGCAUGGAAUAACACGAUAGGACUCUGGCUUAUCUUGUUGGUCUGUGAGACCAGAGUAAUGAUUAAGAGGGACAGUCGGGGGCGUUCGUAUUUCAUUGUCAGAGGUGAAAUUCUUGGAUUUAUGAAAGACGAACUUCUGCGAAAGCAUUUGUCAAGGAUGUUUUCAUUAA